UACGUAGGUGGCAAGCGUUGUCCGGAUUUACUGGGCGUAAAGAGCGCGCAGGCGGUCGUUCAAGUCGCGUGUGAAAGCCCCCGGCUCAACUGGGGAGGGUCACGCGAUACUGAUCGACUCGAAGGCAGGAGAGGGAAGUGGAAUUCCCGGUGUAGUGGUGAAAUGCGUAGAUAACGGGAGGAACACCAGUGGCGAAGGCGACUUCCUGGCCUGUUCCUGACGCUGAGGCGCGAAAGCUAGGGGAGCAAACGGG
Molecule: ribosomal RNA, 253 nt
Filed under: uncultured bacterium
Lineage: Bacteria
Description: partial 16S ribosomal RNA
Rfam family: Bacterial small subunit ribosomal RNA
Source: RNAcentral